AACAUUCCAUUUCCCUCUCUCUCUCGCUUGGUCGCCCCCGUCCCGGUUUCCCUCAAAUCGUCAAUGUCAACCCGAAUUUUUUAGAUUUGUUGUUUUCUCCACUUUCAACCUAAAGAAGAAGAAGAGUCUCCUCCAAUCCUUUCUCCCUCUUUAAGAUCUGAGAUUUCAAAGAGUAAAGACAAAAAUCCAACAUCUUUUUCUAGCUGUGUCUUCAUCACUUCUAGCCAAUUAUUUCCUCAAAUUAACCCCAAUUACACUUUAUUGCUUGCACUGUCGAUAAUUAUAGAUCUUCCAUAAAAAAGUAUCAAAUUUGAUUUUUCACUUUAAGAUCCUCAAGACCUAGUAGAAUUUACUAGGAUCGUAGUUAAAACUUGCCCUUGACUAAGAAGGAACCUAUUUGCUUAACCCUAUUUGUACGCAAUCAGAUUGUGCUAUUUGAGAUUCUUUGGUUUUUGGGUUUUUUUCUGUAUUCUGUAAAGAUGGCGGAGUCAGAGGUGAGUGUCAGGGUUGAUGCGGCAUCCGAUUUGUAUAAGGGGAUGUCUUCUGACAAUAUAAAAGGAUUAGUGAUGGCUUUGUCUUCCAGUGCCUUUAUUGGCGGCAGCUUCAUUGUUAAGAAAAAGGGAUUAAAGAAAGCAGGGGCUUCUGGCAUCAGGGCUAGUAAUUUAUGCUUUUUUGCUUCAAUUUUAGCCAUAUUAUAUGUGCAUUUUACUUCAUUUCUGAAAAUAUUGAUUGUUGAAGGUGCGUAUUUUUUUAUAUUUACUGUAUUUGGAGAUACUUAAUUGGAGUUUGUUUUCUGCAAGUGCAAAUGAAGUAGCUGUAUUGAUAUGGGAGAAAUAGCACUACUGCAAUUGCUUGUGGUUGCAAUAAACUGUUGAGAUCUUGAGUCAUUUCUUGGAGAUUAUGUUCAAACAAGGGAAAGAAAUGUAAACUUGUCAGGAGAUCAAUCCGGUAGGAAAUUGCGUUAGGGAAAUUCUAGGAAAAAGUUUGCACCCUACGGGCAUUUUCGUUCUAAUUCAUUAUUAUCUGUGAAGCAGAGGAAUCUUGGCAAAGAGAAUGUGCUGGAUGAGCUACUUGAAAUAUUAAGUUUCUGUUGAGAAAGAAACGUGGAUGCUAGAUUCAAAAAUCAGAAUAAAGAAGCGGGUUUUUAAGUGGAGAAGUAGUAGAUAGACCAGUAGUGAAGAUUUGACAGAGUUUUUUAGGCUUUAUAAGUUAACUAAUUGAUUUUAUGAAGUGGAUUUUGUGUGAAAUGGUUUAGUUGUUAUGAAGAGUGUAGGUUUGAACUAACAGUUUAUGGUUGGCUCUUUAUAUUUUGACCCUGAGUUGAAUGGUGUGUGUUUGUAACCUGAUUUUGUUUGAUUUUGAAUUGAGUACAUACUCUUCGUCAAGUGUGAUGUCCAUUUUUAUUCUGUUGUGACUUUGCCUUUUCAAUUCCUUGGGAUCCCAGAAAAUUCUUAGGAUCACAGAAAACUUGUAAACAGGCAUCAAUUUCUUGGGAUCCCAGAGAACUUGUAAACUUGCUCCUGAAAGAUGAAUUGUACUUUUCAUGAUAAGAAAAUAACAUAGAAGAAAUGAGCAGAGAUAAAAAGAAAUAUUGUAAUUUCAUCAAAGGGUCCUGAGUUGUGUGAAAGGGUCCUGAGUUGAUGAAUUGAACUAACGAAUUAAUGUUUUUAAUUUUUACUGAUUGAAGUCAAGGUUUCCUGUUUGGCUGUUUUGGUAGUUUCAAUUUCUGGGUGUGCUAGCUUCGAAGUUAAAUGAUUCACGAUUUUUACUUGUGCGAGCACUAAGAGUGUAUAUUAAAAAACAUAAAUUUAUACUAUGGUUUUCUUUGCUUCCAGCAAGGGCUCAGUUUCUGCUAGGAUGGAUGAAUAUCUAAGUAUCUAUGUGCUUGCAGCAUAGUCAAUUGUUUGUGAAAGUUUAACAUUCUGUAAUUAUUUAAAAAAAUGAAUGAAUGAGUGACAUUGCUGUAUGGACCUUGCCUUUAACUUUUCUUUAGAAGCACCAACAUAAUUUAAUAUUUUAAACUAGUAUGCAAGAAUCACAUUUCAGAUGGCUAGCUUGUUGAACAAAAUGCAAUUACAUGCUGAGAACUCUGUAUCAGAAGACAAGCAAACAAGUUUCAUUGUUUUUGUUCCUCCCACAGAAAGUGAUAUUCUUCAUCCAUGUGAUGUGGCUGAGGAUGUUGCAAUUGCUUUUGGUUACAAUGAAAUUCCCAAGGCAAAACUGGCAUCUCU
Olea europaea var. sylvestris is the source of this 2231-nucleotide long non-coding RNA. RefSeq lists it as uncharacterized. The transcript has 2 exons. The record is from RefSeq and is a predicted model, not a curated record. Lineage: Eukaryota; Viridiplantae; Streptophyta; Magnoliopsida; Lamiales; Oleaceae.